CCGAAUUCUUCCACAACAGAGUUUGAUCCUGGCUCAGAACGAACGCUGGCGGCAGGCUUAAUACAUGCCAGUCGAACGGUUGUAGCAAUACAGCAGUGGCAGACGGGUGAGUAACACGUGGGAACCUACCUAGGGGUACGGAAUAACCCAGGGAAACUUGUGCUAAUACCGUAUACGGCCUCAGGGUGAAAGAUUUAUCGCCCCUAGAUGGGCCCGCGUUGGAUUAGCUAGUUGGUGAGGUAAAAGCUCACCAAGGCGACGAUCCAUAGCUGGUCUGAGAGGAUGAUCAGCCACACUGGGACUGAGACACGGCCCAGACUCCUACGGGAGGCAGCAGUAGGGAAUCUUGGACAAUGGGCGAAAGCCUGAUCCAGCCAUGCCGCGUGAGUGAUGAAGGCCUUAGGGUUGUAAAGCUCUUUCGCCAGGGAAGAUAAUGACGGUACCUGGAUAAGAAGCCCCGGCUAACUUCGUGCCAGCAGCCGCGGUAAUACGAAGGGGGCUAGCGUUGUUCGGAAUUACUGGGCGUAAAGCGCACGUAGGCGGUUUUCCAAGUUGGAGGUGAAAUCCCCGGGCUUAACCUGNGAACUGCCUCCAAGACUGGGAGACUCGAGUCCGAGAGAGGUGAGUGGAUUUUCCAGUGUAGAGGUGAAAUUCGUAGAUAUUGGAAAGAACACCAGUGGCGAAGGCGGCUCACUGGCUCGGUACUGACGCUGAAGAGCGACAGCGUGG
This 729-nucleotide ribosomal RNA is filed under the name uncultured Alphaproteobacteria bacterium. RNAcentral's name for it is "bacterial SSU rRNA". It matches the Rfam family "Bacterial small subunit ribosomal RNA", at positions 1 to 764 of the family's 1533-position model. The record is from RNAcentral. Lineage: Bacteria; Pseudomonadati; Pseudomonadota; Alphaproteobacteria.